GUGGGGAAUAUUGGACAAUGGGCGAAAGCCUGAUCCAGCCAUGCCGCGUGUGUGAAGAAGGUCUUCGGAUUGUAAAGCACUUUAAGUUGGGAGGAAGGGCAGUAAGUUAAUACCUUGCUGUUUUGACGUUACCGACAGAAUAAGCACCGGCUAACUUCGUGCCAGCAGCCGCGGUAAUACGAAGGGUGCAAGCGUUAAUCGGAAUUACUGGGCGUAAAGCGCGCGUAGGUGGUUUUGUAAGUUGGAGGUGAAAUCCCCGGGCUCAACCUGGGAACUGCCUCCAGAACUGCAUGACUAGAGUACGGUAGAGGGUAGUGGAAUUGCCUGUGUAGCGGUGAAAUGCGUAGAUAUAGGAAGGACCACCAGUGGCGAAGGCGACUACCUGGACUGAUACUGACACUGAGGUGCGAAAGCGUGGGGAGCAAACAGGAUUAGAUACCCUUGUAGUCC
Molecule: ribosomal RNA, 450 nt
Filed under: uncultured bacterium
Lineage: Bacteria
Description: partial 16S ribosomal RNA
Rfam family: Bacterial small subunit ribosomal RNA
Source: RNAcentral